This 308-nucleotide long non-coding RNA is filed under the name Mus pahari (shrew mouse). RNAcentral describes it as "predicted gene 16235 (MGP_PahariEiJ_G0003989.1)". The record is from RNAcentral. Lineage: Eukaryota; Metazoa; Chordata; Mammalia; Rodentia; Muridae.
CCAUGGGGAGCAAAUCAAAGAACCCAGUCUGCAUGCUGUCCCUUCUCCCCACGAGGCUGCCUCUGUGCCAUAUCAUAGGGACUCCGCUGUGGUGGCAAGGAGGAUGUUCACAGAUGCUGAGAACAGGGCAACGAAGAUCAAGAACGUUCUUGAUACUUGGACGGUGCAUGAAGGUCCCGAUGCUAAUUGUCCUGCCUCUCGCUCAAUCCUGGGUUUUACCGACUGGGUGUCACAUCCUUCUUUCCAGUGUGUGUUUCCCGGGUGUGACAAGAGCCAGCUCUACUCUACUCAGCAGCCACCUUCUGCCA